AUUGCUGUGGUGCGGGUAAUAAUUCACGAAAACAAAGCCGCGUUCCUGAUCGAUGCAGUGGAACAACGGGUUCCAGUCAAACAUGGCGAGGAUGUAGCUCGGCGUUGCGUUGGCGACGAACAUCUUGCCAGAGGCGAUCAUGUUCAUGCGUG
This 152-nucleotide non-coding RNA is filed under the name Marivivens sp. JLT3646. RNAcentral describes it as "Ruegeria cis2 sRNA". It matches the Rfam family "Ruegeria cis2 sRNA". From Rfam's summary of the family: Cis-encoded. Targets ABC transporter. Functions in transport. Lineage: Bacteria; Pseudomonadati; Pseudomonadota; Alphaproteobacteria; Rhodobacterales; Paracoccaceae. The record is from Rfam by way of RNAcentral.